RNAcentral lists this ribosomal RNA (461 nucleotides) under uncultured bacterium. RNAcentral's name for it is "bacterial SSU rRNA". It matches the Rfam family "Bacterial small subunit ribosomal RNA", at positions 1036 to 1498 of the family's 1533-position model. The record is from RNAcentral.
AGGUGCUGCAUGGCUGUCGUCAGCUCGUGUCGUGAGAUGUUGGGUUAAGUCCCGCAACGAGCGCAACCCUCGCCAUUAGUUGCCAUCAUUUAGUUGGGCACUCUAAUGGGACUGCCGGUGUCAAACCGGAGGAAGGUGGGGAUGACGUCAAGUCCUCAUGGCCUUUAUGACCAGGGCUACACACGUACUACAAUGGCCGGUACAAAGGGCAGCCACAGUGCGAACUGGAGCAAAUCCCUUAAAGCCGGUCUCAGUCCGGAUCGGAGUCUGCAACUCGACUCCGUGAAGUUGGAAUCGCUAGUAAUCGUGGAUCAGCAUGCCACGGUGAAUACGUUCCCGGGCCUUGUACACACCGCCCGUCACACCACGGAAGUUGGUUGUACCAGAAGUAGUUGAGCGAACCUUCGGGACGCAGACUACCAAGGUAUGGCUGGUAACUGGGGUGAAGUCGUAACAAGGUA